CUGCUUUGAAGGAAUCCUAAGAUGCACAAUUUUUCAAAAUGCUGCAAGCUAGUAGAUGACAUGGAAGAAUAAACACAUGAUCAGAAACUAAAGAAAGCUGACGUGGAAGAAAAGAAGAAAAAGAUGAAAGCAAUUGGAUCAAUUCACAGAAACCAUAUCAGUUUGUUGAACUCACGUGUGAUAAGGAACAUGCUAUUUGCUAAUGCAAGAAACCUCCGGAUAUCCCGUAUAGGAUGCUGUCAGUAAAAGCUCCCUGGAAUGUGAUGUUCCAAAGGAUACAGAGUGGAGAAGCCGUGACUUACUAUAGGCACCCUGUCACUUCAAUUAAUACAGCAUGCCCACCUCGAGCAAAGGAUGCUCUCAAUCCAAGGAAAUAUUCCAAUGGAUCUCUCUUGCCAAUGUUUAUUGCUAAAAGUGUUAGUCACUCAGUCAUGUCCAGUUCUGUGACCCCAUGGACUGUAGCUCGCCAGGCUCCUCUGUCCCUGGAAUUCUCCAGGUAAGAAUACUGGAGUGGGUUGUUGUGCCCUUCUCCAGGGGAUCUUCCAGUCCCAGGGAUCGAACCCAGGUCUUCCACAUUGCAGGCAGAUUCUUUACCAUCUGAGCUACCAGGGAAGCCUUAU
Long non-coding RNA from Bos indicus x Bos taurus (hybrid cattle), 620 nucleotides. NCBI's taxonomy places the organism in Eukaryota, Metazoa, Chordata, Mammalia, Artiodactyla, Bovidae. The record is from Ensembl.